AAGGACUGGCGUAAGGCUGCCGAUCGGCAGGAGCACCGUGGAGGAAACUUGUUUGUUCAACCCUUGCCGUUCGGCAAGGAUGCCUUGAGCAAAUUGUACCUCACCUUUUUUGAGCUCGUUCCAAGUCUUGAGCUGAUACCGUCCGUUUUGUUGUAUAACGUGGAUAAAUUUCAAGCCACAUUCUCUGCUGUUGUUGCCGUUCGGCAAGGAGAUUCGGAGGGUGUUUUGCUUCAAUAAGAGAUGUCGAUGCGGAAGCAGAGCAGUUGGUGAUGCCUGAGUAGGUGCCAACACGGAAGCGCCAUGGGUGUCUUGAUAAGAUCUUCGUCAUGGGUGCCGUUUGGUAUAUUGGAACCCUUCGGAAUCAGCAAUGUCGUUCAUGGUGCGACGAAGAACUAGCAAGAUGAAAGGUCCUGGAGCUCGUGAUUGGGCUAAACGAUGAUGCAUUGUGAGGCAUCAACACUUGUGCUGGCUUUCUCUUCAUCCCAUGUGUGGUUUGCUUCUCCCAUAUUUUCAUCUUUUGAACCGUGUGUCAUAGGUCCCACCUUUUAUUGUAGAAGCUGGAAUGUAUUGGUAGUGAGAGUCUUAAGGCUGCUUUGUGAUUGUUGUGAUUCUUGUCGUCCGAUAAGAACAUGUGUGGUCUCUGAUAGCCACCGAUUUAAAGGUGGGUGUGUUGAGUAUUUAUUGGCAUGGGUGCCGAACGGUAGCUUAUGAAAAAUAAGUAAGGUGGAGGUUUGGAAAUA
Prunus mume (Japanese apricot) is the source of this 740-nucleotide non-coding RNA. Lineage: Eukaryota; Viridiplantae; Streptophyta; Magnoliopsida; Rosales; Rosaceae. The record is from RefSeq and is a predicted model, not a curated record.